Non-coding RNA from Triticum urartu, 115 nucleotides. NCBI's taxonomy places the organism in Eukaryota, Viridiplantae, Streptophyta, Magnoliopsida, Poales, Poaceae. The record is from Rfam.
AAUCUACUCCCUCCGUUCGGAAUUACUUGUCUCGGAAAUGGAUGUAUCUAGAACUAAAAUACAUCUAGAUACAUCCAUUUCCGCGACAAGUAAUUCCGAACAGAGAGAGUACUCC